CACACAAGAAAUCACCUGAACAAAACCUCCUGAACAAAACCACCUUUUUCUUUUUUUGUUUUUCCAUGAGAAUAUCUUUCCCUUCACUCCUUUUGGAGAUGUUUUCCCUGCAGUGGGGAAGGUGCUCUCCAGGAGGAGCCUCCCCAGCUCUCGUGUUUGCCCCAGCCUGGGGAGAGGCAGGUGCUCGGCAGGGGCACCCAGCACAGGUAAAUGAGAGGUGCACAGAGCAGCCAAAAGGGGAGCUCUGGGGCACAAUGGCAGCUUCUCCUCCAGAGAUAUUAACUGUCUUUCACUGUGCUCCUGGCAGAAGAAAGCAGUGGGUUUGUCCCAGCAGUUCUGGACAAGAUUAGUGGGUAUUAUAGCCAUGAGAGGAUAUUUCCCUCCAAACUGGGAACUGAAAUGGGAUACAAUCCCCCUUCCCACGACACCAGGAGCACAGCCACCAGUGCACCUUUCAGAGGGGCAAGGGGGCUCCAUCAGCUGUACCCAUCUCAACACAGCCAGGGAAAAAUGUAAUGCUGGCUUCACCUGGGCUGGAACUGGGCACAAACACAGCUCUGCACUGUGACUCCCUCUGCUCUGCUCCCCUCUGCAGGGAAAGAGUUAAAGGCUGGAAAAGGGCCAGAGGCAAAGGGAGCUCUAAAGCCAGGUGGAAGGAACAACUGCUCAGAAGGAGCACUCACUCACUCACUCACUCACUCACUCACUCCACAUUGUCAUCCCUGGCAAUUAUGGCAAAACAAACAGGGAAAGAAACUUGCAGGGGAUGGAGUUGUUUCAGUAACACAUCACCAUGAACAUCCUACAGGUGGAACACAUCCCACACCUCCUGGUUGCCUUUGCUCUGGGUGACUGCUGUCUAUCCCGCCUCCUUAACUCAGAGCGAGAAAACACCCUUAAAAGCAGGGGUUCUAGAAGAAGAUAUGGGACCUUGCUGUCAGCUACGGCACACGGUGCAACAGAACAGAUCUUCAGGCCCCUCAGGCUGGGUGGAGGCACAGCUCUGGAGCUGCUUGGAGACCCUCAGAUCCCCCAGAGCUGUUUGAAGUCCUCCUCUGUCUACAUGCAGACUGCUUUUUGUCUCAGAAGAUGUCAGGUUCAAACUGAGGCUGCCACCUUCGGUUCUGGGCACAGCAGCCCAAAUUUGUUCUACAGGAACAUCUUUUGGGAAGGCACCCACACAAUGCCUCCUGGUGAAACUCCAGCUACAACAGCUUUAACAUCUGCAACCAAAAUCAGUGUUCAGACGAGUGUUAACCCACAGUUCCCCAUGGAAGGGGCCAGUUUCACCCCAAAGCUCUUCAAGUGUCCUGGUGCUGCCCCACAGCAGAGGGAGGGGAUCCCUCCUGGAGCUGCAGAGCAGGGGAGAGCCAGGGGAGCAGUCUGCCUUGGGAACCCUUCACUGCCACCCCCUGAGCUGCUUGCAGGUGUAACUAGCCCACAGUGUGGGCUGGCUUGCCAAACCAGGGGCCUCUCCGGUGCCAGUGCAGCCCAGCUCCCGAAUUCCCACGACGAGGAAGAAGCUUCAGCUUGUGCAGACACUGCUGUCAGCCCUUUGCAGCCUCUUAUCCCUGCUCCAGGCAUGGAGGGAAGCAGAGCAGGGCUGGCAUUUCCCUGCCCUGCAAGGGAAGUGGAGCAGCUCUGGGUGACUGCAGUAACGAGGUUCUGCAGUCCAUAACUUUCCACGGUGCAUUUCCUCCCCCAGGAGCCACAGGCUGCUUUACUGCAAUCACACACAAACAGGUCUCAGUGCGCUUCUUGGCGGUGGAUAGCAGGAAGAAAACCCUCAGAUAACUGUGAAAUGCUCUGGUGGAACCUGCAGAAAUGUGGGCUUUAUCCUGGCUGUGGGACCAGCUGGAGGGUUGAUUUCAGAGGAAUCCUUUAACCCCUGGGCUGCAGAAGAGGAACUCUCACCUGCUCUGUGCUCCUGUCAUGCCAGCGUGGGCUGAGCUGCUCCUGGCACCCUGCUCCCCACCUCUGGCAGCCAGGAUGAGACCUUUACCAGCACCCUGAUCCACAAAACAAGCUCUUAUUUCCAGUGUUGGUACGGCUGCAGCCGGCUGACAGAAAUCCCCUAACGCCUGUAAAAAAAGAAUAAUAAAAACAUUUAGUAUAACA
RNAcentral lists this long non-coding RNA (2118 nucleotides) under Cyanistes caeruleus (blue tit). RNAcentral's name for it is "lncRNA (ENSCCEG00000009028.1)". Lineage: Eukaryota; Metazoa; Chordata; Aves; Passeriformes; Paridae. The record is from RNAcentral.